UGUCGUUACUAUGUAGCAGCUUUGAAAGCCAGUCGAUGAUUUUUUUUUUAAACACUGAUCAGCUGAUGACACAAUGGGAGAAGACGGUUCCUCAGUGAAGUGCGCGCACCCGCUGCCAUACAAGAUUUAAGAUUAGUUUCGUUUUAAACAUUUGCUUUGUUUGCCUAAAACGAACCAUAUCACAGUCUUCAAAAACUCGCCGUCCAACCUGCGGAAGUAUAUUGAAUGAACAUGCAUAAAAUGACAUCAGAGGCCCCCUGCAGACCCUCAUGACUGUAACAAGCUGCUCUGACUCGAGCAGAAGGACCAUUCCCUGGAGGACCACACCAGAGAUUGUUUUGGAUUUGACAUGCCUAACUUACUAUCUGGAUCGCUCACUCUGCGUUUUUUACAUCACCAGCCUCAGCAAGCAGUCCAAGGCAUGCCUACCAUGUAAUGGUCCUCGAGAGGAUUUCAACGUUUUUGUGGAGAGGGUUCUGGUAAAUAAUGGAUCGGCUUUCACCAUCUGCCCAGUGGAGGACAUCACCAGCCCCACUCCGGACUCAGAGCCCAGCCAGCCAUCACCCCGUUGCACGGAUAUGAUGCUAGGGCCAACUGCAGAUGGAGAGCUAGAGUCUGCUGCGAUGCAUGAGUGAGCGACAGUAAAAAAGGACUGAGCCAACCAUUGCCCUGGAGCCUGAGCCCCACAGUGACUCUGACCAGGUGCAUGAGCCAGUAACAUCAACUGCCGCCAUGGGAGCACUAGUGGAGUUUGAGGGAAUGGAGAAAGACCCCGCACACACUUCCACAACUGAGGGUGAGCUGCUGCUGACCUAUGCAGGUUAUUUUGAUUUGGAAAAGGAUAUUUAUAUUAAUCUCCCAUCCCUUCUGGUUCCAUCCAGCCCAAAGUCUCCUGUGUCCCCACUGGUUCCACCCAGCUUGAAGUUGUAAUGUUACAUGUAUAUUCAGUCUUGGUUUUGUUUUCUUGGUUUGGGUUCUGUUCUUGUUUGCCUGUGUUCCAUUUGCUAGUUUGUCUCCAUGGUUUUUGAUUGAGUUUGCAUGUGUUCCUGGUUAUGUUAAUUAUCCCUGUAUGUAUUUAAAGUUUCUUUGCCCAGAGGCAUCAUCAUCACAGUCUGUAAAAAGGGUCAAUUGAGUCCCAGCUUCUACAAAGCCCCUCCAUCUGAAAAGCCCAGAGUUCUGUGAUUGCCCAGCUGACCCAGUGCGUUGUGAUUGGCCAAACACCUCAAGCUUGUGUCAGAAAUGUAACAGCCCUUACCAUAAUCACGAGCUUCAGCUUCAGCUUCCAAGGAUUCUAAAGCAACUAUAAACACACAGUUAAUAAUGUUGUUGGUUUUACCAUAUCAGUUUGGGCCUGAGUAAGAUUUUGAAAAUGCUGAUGACCAAGCAGAUGGUUCUGAACCAACUUUGCAAGCACAACUUGAGCUGAACGUUUCAGAGUGGUAAACUUUUAUUUUGGUAACUCUCUUAUACAGUGGGCCAGUAGUGCACAACACAACGAAAUUAAAAAA
Megalobrama amblycephala (Wuchang bream) is the source of this 1508-nucleotide long non-coding RNA. RefSeq lists it as uncharacterized. The transcript is spliced from 3 exons. Lineage: Eukaryota; Metazoa; Chordata; Actinopteri; Cypriniformes; Xenocyprididae. The record is from RefSeq and is a predicted model, not a curated record.